CCCGCUGAACUUAAGCAUAUCAAUAAGCGGAGGAAAAGAAACUAACAAGGAUUCCCCUAGUAACUGCGAGUGCAGCGGGAAGAGCUCAAAUUUGAAAUCUGGCAGCUCUCUGAACUGUCCGAGUUGUAAUCUAGAGAAGUGUUACCUGUGCUGGACCGUGUACAAGUCUCCUGGAAUGGAGCGUCACAGAGGGUGAGAAUCCCGUCUUUGACACGGACUGCCUGCAUGUUUAUGGUGCGCUCUCAAAGAGUCGAGUUGUUUGGGAAUGCAGCUCAAAAUGGGUGGUAAAUGCCAUCUAAAGCUAAAUAUUGGCGAGAGACCGAUAGCGAACAAGUACCGUGAGGGAAAGAUGAAAAGAACUUUGGAAAGAGAGUUAAACAGUACGUGAAAUUGCUGAAAGGGAAACGCUUGAAGUCAGUCGCGUUGUUCAGGAUUCAGCCUUGCUUCCGCUUGGUGUACUUCCUGUUCGACGGGUCAGCAUCAGUUUUGGCCAGUGGAUAAAGGCCCAGAGAAUGUGGCAUCCUCGGAUGUGUUAUAGCUUUGGGUCGCAUACAUUGGCUGGGACUGAGGAACUCAGCACGCCGAAAGGCCAGGUUUCGACCAUGUACGUGCUUAGGAUGCUGGCAUAAUGGCUUUAAUCGACCCGUCUUGAAACACGG
This 659-nucleotide ribosomal RNA is filed under the name uncultured fungus. Its description in RNAcentral is "eukaryotic LSU rRNA". It matches the Rfam family "Eukaryotic large subunit ribosomal RNA", at positions 24 to 664 of the family's 3401-position model. The record is from RNAcentral. Lineage: Eukaryota; Fungi.